RNAcentral lists this ribosomal RNA (253 nucleotides) under uncultured bacterium. Its description in RNAcentral is "partial 16S ribosomal RNA". It matches the Rfam family "Bacterial small subunit ribosomal RNA", at positions 524 to 776 of the family's 1533-position model. The record is from RNAcentral.
UACGUAGGGACCGAGCGUUGUCCGGAAUCAUUGGGCGUAAAGAGCGUGUAGGCGGCCCCUUAAGUCCUGCGUGAAAUCCUGCGGCUCAACCGCAGACGGUCGUGGGAAACUGGAGGGCUAGAGUGCGGGAGAGGCGAGUGGAAUUCCUGGUGUAGCGGUGAAAUGCGCAGAUAUCAGGAGGAACACCUAUUGCGAAGGCAGCUCGCUGGGACGUAACUGACGCUGAGACGCGAAAGCGUGGGGAGCAAACAGG